This 253-nucleotide ribosomal RNA is filed under the name uncultured prokaryote. Its description in RNAcentral is "partial 16S ribosomal RNA". It matches the Rfam family "Bacterial small subunit ribosomal RNA", at positions 525 to 777 of the family's 1533-position model. The record is from RNAcentral.
ACGAAGGGGGCUAGCGUUGCUCGGAAUCACUGGGCGUAAAGGGCGCGUAGGCGGCCGAUCAAGUCAGGGGUGAAAGCCUGUGGCUCAACCACAGAAUUGCCUUUGAUACUGUUCGGCUCGAGACCGGAAGAGGUUGGUGGAACUGCGAGUGUAGAGGUGAAAUUCGUAGAUAUUCGCAAGAACACCAGUGGCGAAGGCGGCCAACUGGUCCGGUUCUGACGCUGAGGCGCGAAAGCGUGGGGAGCAAACAGGA